Molecule: ribosomal RNA, 891 nt
Filed under: uncultured bacterium
Lineage: Bacteria
Description: bacterial SSU rRNA
Rfam family: Bacterial small subunit ribosomal RNA
Source: RNAcentral
GUGUCAGCCGCCGCGGUAAUACGAAGGGACCUAGCGUAGUUCGGAAUUACUGGGCUUAAAGAGUUCGUAGGUGGUUAAAAAAGUUGGUGGUGAAAUCCCAGAGCUUAACUCUGGAACUGCCAUCAAAACUUUUUAGCUAGAGUAUGAUAGAGGAAAGUAGAAUUUCUAGUGUAGAGGUGAAAUUCGUAGAUAUUAGAAAGAAUACCAAUUGCGAAGGCAGCUUUCUGGAUCAUUACUGACACUGAGGAACGAAAGCAUGGGUAGCGAAGAGGAUUAGAUACCCUCGUAGUCCAUGCCGUAAACGAUGUGUGUUAGACGUUGGAAAUUUAUUUUCAGUGUCGCAGCGAAAGCAAUAAACACACCGCCUGGGGAGUACGACCGCAAGGUUAAAACUCAAAUGAAUUGACGGGGACCCGCACAAGUAGUGGAGCAUGUGGUUUAAUUCGAAGAUACGCGCAGAACCUUACCAACACUUGACAUGUUCGUCGCGACUCUAAGAGAUUAGAGUUUCGGUUCGGCCGGACGAAACACAGGUGCUGCAUGGCUGUCGUCAGCUCGUGUCGUGAGAUGUUGGGUUAAGUCCCGCAACGAGCGCAACCCUUACUUUUAGUUGCCAUCAUUUAGUUGGGAACUCUAAAAGAACUGCCAGUGAUAAGCAGGAGGAAGGUGGGGAUGACGUCANGUCCUCAUGGCCCUUACGUGUUGGGCUACACACGUGCUACANUGNCAUUUACANUAGGANGCAAGGCGGCGACGUCANGCAANUCCUAAAAAANUGCCUCAGUUCGGAUUGCACUCUGCAACUCGAGUGCAUGAAGCUGGAAUUACUAGUAAUCGCGGAUCAGCGUGCCGCGGUGAAUGCGUUCCCGGGUCUUGCACACACCGCCCGUC